GACUCUGCAGCCUUGCAAGGCUAAUACAGUAUCCUGCUACAUGGCAAGGACUCAAGGCUUCUCCCACCCAUGGAUUCUGGCAGAAAUGUUCUUUGGUGGGAGAAGGCAACAAUGCCAAAACUCCUCUCCCUCAUUUAAUCAUUACUACGGCUUUAUUUACACCAAGGUUCAGCAUGAAAAGGAUCCUCUCGCAUUAAAAGAUCUCUCCAGUGAAGUGUUACUGUUUGUGCUGAAGCUCAGAUAUGCAAUGAACUUUUUAAUUCACAGCAGCAACGAAAAAAAUAAAGUGGGAGCUUGUAUCUUAUUUGCAGUGCAUCUUCCUGCCAGUAAUAAAAAAAAAAAAAAGUCCCUUUCUGAAGCAUAUGUAACUCAUAAAAUCAGAAAAUUGCUUUGAAGCACUGGCCUUGUACAGAGCUACACUGUGUAAUUGGCUUUUUCAAGAAACCUCUGCAUCAUAUGCUUUAAGGAGCUGAUGCCUGACAAAGGAGAAGCUGCUGUGCUGUUCUGGCUGCAGCCUCGGAGCAUUUGAAUGGCUUUACCCAUUUCUGAGUGUGAAUAAACAUUAGAGGAGCCACAGAAAACAAAACAGAGACUGAAGUUCAUUCAAUGCAUUUGGUUCACUUGAAGGAGAUGUAAGUCUCCUGAAAAUGAUCUUGCUUUAGCUAUGUUUCAGACUUAUAGAUCAGGAGCUGGAGCACUGGGAAUGAGGCUCACGGACCAAUUUUUAUUUCACUGAGCUGUUGUUAUUCUGCUCCUUUGGUGAGGCUUAUUCAGGAGCGUUGUGGAGCAGGUGGAAAAGAA
This is a long non-coding RNA of Passer domesticus (house sparrow), 801 nucleotides long. RefSeq lists it as uncharacterized. The transcript is spliced from 4 exons. The record is from RefSeq and is a predicted model, not a curated record. Lineage: Eukaryota; Metazoa; Chordata; Aves; Passeriformes; Passeridae.